UUGAACGCUGGCGGUAUGCUUAACACAUGCAAGUCCGAACGGUUAACAGGCCUUCGGGCGCUGACGAGUGCGGACGGGUGAGUAACGCGUAGGAAUCUGCCUCAUAGUGGGGGACAACGUGGGGAAACUCACGCUAAUACCGCAUACGCCCUACGGGGGAAAGCGGGGGGAUCUUCGGACCUCGCGCUAUGAGAUGAGCCUGCGUUAGAUUAGCUAGUUGGUAGGGUAAAGGCCUACCAAGGCGACGAUCUAUAGCUGGUCUGAGAGGACGAUCAGCCACACUGGGACUGAGACACGGCCCAGACUCCUACGGGAGGCAGCAGUGGGGAAUAUUGGACAAUGGGCGCAAGCCUGAUCCAGCAAUACCGCGUGUGUGAAGAAGGCCUUAGGGUUGUAAAGCACUUUCAAUUGGGAGGAAAACCUGCCGGUCAAUACCCGGUAGCUUGACAUUACCUUUAGAAGAAGCACCGGCUAACUCCGUG
This 482-nucleotide ribosomal RNA is filed under the name uncultured bacterium. Its description in RNAcentral is "bacterial SSU rRNA". It matches the Rfam family "Bacterial small subunit ribosomal RNA", at positions 30 to 507 of the family's 1533-position model. The record is from RNAcentral.